GAUGAAGAACGCAGCGAAAUGCGAUAAGUAGUGUGAAUUGUAGAAUUCAGUGAAUCAUCGAAUCUUUGAACGCACAUUGCGCCCCUUGGUAUUCCAUGGGGCAUGCCUGUUCGAGCGUCAUUUGUACCUUCAAGCUUUGCUUGGUGUUGGGUGUUUGUCUCGCCUUUGCGUGUAGACUCGCCUUAAAAUAAUUGGCAGCCGGCGUAUUGAUUUCGGAGCGCAGUACAUCUCGCGCUUUGCACUCAUAACGACAGCGUCCAAAAGUACAUUUUACACUCUUGACCUCGGAUCAGGUAGGGAUACCCGCUGAACUUAAGCAUAUCAAUAAGCGGAGGA
RNAcentral lists this unclassified non-coding RNA (336 nucleotides) under soil metagenome. RNAcentral's name for it is "partial contains 5.8S ribosomal RNA, internal transcribed spacer 2, and large subunit ribosomal RNA". The stretch from base 1 to 120 matches the Rfam family "5.8S ribosomal RNA", at positions 35 to 154 of the family's 154-position model. The record is from RNAcentral.